This 477-nucleotide ribosomal RNA is filed under the name uncultured bacterium. RNAcentral's name for it is "partial 16S ribosomal RNA". It matches the Rfam family "Bacterial small subunit ribosomal RNA", at positions 30 to 507 of the family's 1533-position model. The record is from RNAcentral.
AUUGAACGCUGGCGGCAUGCCUUACACAUGCAAGUCGAACGGUAACAGGUUAAGCUGACGAGUGGCGAACGGGUGAGUAAUGUAUCGGAACGUGCCCAGUCGUGGGGGAUAACUGCUCGAAAGAGCAGCUAAUACCGCAUACGACCUGAGGGUGAAAGCGGGGGAUCGCAAGACCUCGCGCGAUUGGAGCGGCCGAUAUCAGAUUAGGUAGUUGGUGAGGUAAAGGCUCACCAAGCCGACGAUCUGUAGCUGGUCUCAGAGGACGACCAGCCACACUGGGACUGAGACACGGCCCAGACUCCUACGGGAGGCAGCAGUGGGGAAUUUUGGACAAUGGGCGCAAGCCUGAUCCAGCCAUGCCGCGUGCGGGAAGAAGGCCUUCGGGUUGUAAACCGCUUUUGUCAGGGAAGAAAAGGUUCUGGCUAAUACCUGGGACUCAUGACGGUACCUGAAGAAUAAGCACCGGCUAACUACGUG